This 538-nucleotide ribosomal RNA is filed under the name Rhodotorula glutinis. RNAcentral's name for it is "partial large subunit ribosomal RNA". It matches the Rfam family "Eukaryotic large subunit ribosomal RNA", at positions 78 to 628 of the family's 3401-position model. RNAcentral also lists the same sequence under 1 other name. Lineage: Eukaryota; Fungi; Basidiomycota; Microbotryomycetes; Sporidiobolales; Sporidiobolaceae. The record is from RNAcentral.
CCCUAGUAGCGGCGAGCGAAGCGGGAAGAGCUCAAAUUUAUAAUCUGGCACCUUCGGUGUCCGAGUUGUAAUCUCUAGAAGUGUUUUCCGCGUUGGACCGCACACAAGUCUGUUGGAAUACAGCGGCAUAGUGGUGAAACCCCCGUAUAUGGUGCGGACGCCCAGCGCUUUGUGAUACACUUUCAAUGAGUCGAGUUGUUUGGGAAUGCAGCUCAAAUUGGGUGGUAAAUUCCAUCUAAAGCUAAAUAUUGGCGAGAGACCGAUAGCGAACAAGUACCGUGAGGGAAAGAUGAAAAGCACUUUGGAAAGAGAGUUAACAGUACGUGAAAUUGUUGGAAGGGAAACGCUUGAAGUCAGACUUGCUUGCCGGAGCUUGCUUCGGUUUGCAGGCCAGCAUCAGUUUUCCGGGGUGGAUAAUGACGGUUUGAAGGUAGCAGUCUCGGCUGUGUUAUAGCUUUCCGUUGGAUACAUCCUGGGGGACUGAGGAACGCAGCGUGCUUUUUGCGAAAGACUCGUCUUUUUCACGCUUAGGAUGCUG